RNAcentral lists this small RNA (67 nucleotides) under Acididesulfobacillus acetoxydans. RNAcentral's name for it is "Peptococcaceae bacterium INE non-coding RNA". Lineage: Bacteria; Bacillati; Bacillota; Clostridia; Eubacteriales; Peptococcaceae. The record is from RNAcentral.
AAGCCAAUUCCUCAUAGGCAGGCUAUCGGCCAGUCGCGGUUGUAAUUGACCAGGGAGCAGGCGGAGG